UACGUAGGGAGCAAGCGUUGUCCGGAAUCAUUGGGCGUAAAGCGCGCGUAGGUGGCCUCAUAAGUCCGCUGUGAAAGUCAAAGGCUCAACCUUUGAAAGCCGGUGGAUACUGUGAGGCUAGAGUACGGAAGAGGCGAGUGGAAUUCCUGGUGUAGCGGUGAAAUGCGCAGAUAUCAGGAGGAACACCAAUUGCGAAGGCAGCUCGCUGGGACGUAACUGACGCUGAGACGCGAAAGCGUGGGGAGCAAACAGG
RNAcentral lists this ribosomal RNA (253 nucleotides) under uncultured bacterium. Its description in RNAcentral is "partial 16S ribosomal RNA". It matches the Rfam family "Bacterial small subunit ribosomal RNA", at positions 524 to 776 of the family's 1533-position model. The record is from RNAcentral.